RNAcentral lists this ribosomal RNA (353 nucleotides) under uncultured methanogenic archaeon. RNAcentral's name for it is "bacterial SSU rRNA". It matches the Rfam family "Archaeal small subunit ribosomal RNA", at positions 1029 to 1381 of the family's 1478-position model. Lineage: Archaea; Methanobacteriati; Methanobacteriota. The record is from RNAcentral.
UUAAGUCAGGCAACGAGCGAGACCCACGCCCACAGUUGCCAGCGUACUCUCUGGAGUGACGGGUACACUGUGGGGACCGCCGCUGCUAAAGCGGAGGAAGGAAUGGGCAACGGUAGGUCAGUAUGCCCCGAAUAUCCCGGGCUACACGCGAGCUACAAUGGUUGGUACAAUGGGUAUCUACCCCGAAAGGGGACGGGAAUCUCCUAAAACCAAUCUUAGUUCGGAUUGAGGGCUGCAACUCGCCCUCAUGAAGCUGGAAUCCGUAGUAAUCGCGUUUCAACAGAACGCGGUGAAUACGUCCCUGCUCCUUGCACACACCGCCCGUCAAACCACCCGAGUAGGGUCUGAAUGAG